RNAcentral lists this ribosomal RNA (253 nucleotides) under uncultured bacterium. RNAcentral describes it as "partial 16S ribosomal RNA". It matches the Rfam family "Bacterial small subunit ribosomal RNA", at positions 524 to 776 of the family's 1533-position model. The record is from RNAcentral.
UACGUAGGGUCCGAGCGUUGUCCGGAAUUAUUGGGCGUAAAGAGCUCGUAGGCGGUUUGUCGCGUCUGCUGUGAAAUCCCGAGGCUCAACCUCGGGCCUGCAGUGGGUACGGGCAGACUGGAGUGCGGUAGGGGAGAAUGGAAUUCCUGGUGUAGCGGUGGAAUGCGCAGAUAUCAGGAGGAACACCGAUUGCGAAGGCAGUUCUCUGGGCCGUAACUGACGCUGAGGAGCGAAAGCAUGGGGAGCGAACAGG